UUUUUUUCUUAGAGGAGGAAGGCAUGCAGUAAAUACAUAUUUAUGUCCACUUUUAAUUCCCAGAAUGUCUCCUCAUCUUCGGGUUCCCUUUUAUUGCCAAGUCAGACCGCCACUUGGUUCCCAUUAGAGGGCUGGGUCAUUAGCUCAAUGGAUUGAGCCAGGAAUUAAUUUCAAAAUCGGUGGCUGUGUAAAAGUCUUAGCUAAAGAUGGAAAAAGUAACUUAAAAAAAAAGAGGGCUGGGUCAUUAGCUCAAUGGAUUGGGUCAGGAAUUAAUUUCAAAAAUCGGUGACUGUGUAAAAGUCCUAGCUAAAGAUGGAAAAAGUAACUUUAAAAAAACACUAGAUUUUUCUAAUAACCACUUAAUCAGCUGGGGGACAAGUACACUAGGAGGCAUGCUUCUACCGUGAGUGUGUAUAAAACUUUUUCUACGUUUGUUACGAUUAAUGAGUGGUCGCAAUGACCAGAUAGGUGGGGUAUAAAUAGAAUAAAAUAAAAUAAAUAAGUAAAUAAAUAGAAUUACUGGUUGCCUGAGAACCAAAAGCAUUUUUCACCCCUGAUCUGUCCAGAGUGUUUAACAUCUCUUUAGAAGUCUCGCAUGUAUCUAUAUAGACCAUCUAGUGGUCUGAUAAGCUCUGAAAGAUGAUUGCUUUUACUGGUUAGUUGAAUUCGUGGAUUAAGUUACUUGCCCUCUGCUCUAAUUCUUUGUCUGUAGCUGGAGACUUUUCUGGCCCAACUCCUUCGAGAAAACCAGGCCCUUCGGCAUGAACUAAUACACUGGGAAGCAAUGAUUGUGGAAAAGGGGGACCUUGAUUCCUGCUCCAUAUCUUCAACGCUCCACGGAGAAGCCACGGCUGCCAAUGUUCUCCAAGCUUCCCAGAAGGUGGCACUCCUUAUCCAGGAGAGCCAACGCGAUGUCCAGACCCAGACGGAGGGACCCGAGGCAGGCGUCCAGCAUCGGCGCCGGGAGAGGGUCUCCGUGGCCUUUGAUGACACCCAAUACGAGCCUUACGGGCUUCCUGAAGUGGUCAUGAAAGGAUUUGCUGACAUCCCUUCCGGGCCCUCCUGCCCUUAUGUUCUCCGCCGGGGCAUUUUGGGAAGUGCCCCCGUUGCCCAGCUGGCCCCAAAAGCAGAACCAGAAGAGGAUGGUCUCGAAGCGGAAGAAGAAGCCAGCCUCUGAAAACCCAGCUCACCAG
This 1193-nucleotide long non-coding RNA is filed under the name Pogona vitticeps (central bearded dragon). RNAcentral describes it as "lncRNA (ENSPVIG00000015836.1)". The record is from RNAcentral. Lineage: Eukaryota; Metazoa; Chordata; Lepidosauria; Squamata; Agamidae.